Molecule: ribosomal RNA, 374 nt
Filed under: uncultured eukaryote
Lineage: Eukaryota
Description: partial 18S ribosomal RNA
Rfam family: Eukaryotic small subunit ribosomal RNA
Source: RNAcentral
UAAUAGUGUAUAUUAAAGUUGUUGCAGUUAAAAAGCUCGUAGUUGAAUGUUGGUGUCGAACGAGCGGUCAGCUUCGGCUGUACUGCUCUCUCGACUCCUUCCUUCUGUGGACUACGUCGCACUUUACUGUGUGGCGCUAGGACGCAGAUCGUUUACUGUGAAAAAAUUAGAGUGUUCAAAGCAGGCCGUACGCUUGAAUACAUUAGCAUGGAAUAAUGGAAUAGGACGUCGGGCCUAUUUUGUUGGUUCUAGGACCGUCGUAAUGAUUAAUAGGGACGGUUGGGGCCGUUUAUAUUCCGUAGUCAGAGGUGAAAUUCUUGGAUUUACGGAAGAUAAACUACUGCGAAAGCAUUCGGCAAGGAUGUUUUCGUUAA